RNAcentral lists this non-coding RNA (338 nucleotides) under Cryptosporidium parvum. The record is from RNAcentral. Lineage: Eukaryota; Apicomplexa; Conoidasida; Eucoccidiorida; Cryptosporidiidae.
AUUUUUUGUCAUACAUGUCACACUUUGACUGUAGCAGUGACUGCCUCACACAGCUCCAUAUCAAAAAUACAGCAAAAGUACUCUCCAACACCAUGAAUACAAAACUUUGUAACUUCCUGGCAAAGCAAUCCUCCUCCUAUUGAAGCAAUUGGAGAUAUUGUCUUUCCCCAUGUUUCGUUGAAUAUUUUUUCAAGUUCGAGAGCCUUCUCAAUAUCAAUACUGGGAGUAGUUUUUAUUUCCUUUAAUAUUUCAUCAAUUUCAGAACUUUGAGACUCAUUCUUCACUGCUUUUUGAUACCUUUCUCUAAGCAUACAAAUAAUAAUUAGUAUAUAUGGGUG